This 5281-nucleotide unclassified non-coding RNA is filed under the name Leishmania donovani. RNAcentral's name for it is "gene:LdHU3.21.1740(CDS-product:hypothetical_prote in_conserved)". The record is from RNAcentral. Lineage: Eukaryota; Euglenozoa; Kinetoplastea; Trypanosomatida; Trypanosomatidae.
GAAGGGGAGGACCUGCACGAGCGCGCAUCCCCCUGCUCCCCGCACGGUCUGUUUUGCACCGGUAUUCAAGAGCCAUUCGCCCGCAUCCACGUGCGCGCUAAAGCGCUCGCUGCUGCGAGAAGGCGGACCGGGUGGCCGCUUCACUGCCUUGAAAAGGUGUGUCCGCUCCUCGGGCGUGAGAUGGUUCUUCUCGUUCCCUCGUUCUCCAGUGCCGCUUGUUUACGUGUCUUGUUCCUUUUGUGUGGCGAGGAGGUCGUUGCUCCCUCUGGAUCAUCGCGUCGGCGGUUCUUUCCACUUUUUUGCUUACGUUUCCAUCCCUUAGACUCAACUGUGCGGUGUGCCUUCCACACAUUCAUAUACACCUGUACCUCUCUGCCUCUUAGAGCUGCUUUCUUCUUUGUUUUACUCUCUGUCUCUGGUGGUGUUUGUACGUCUGCGCGCACUCAUACGUCAUCACGCUCAUCCGCCCUUCCCCUCCCCUCCUUCAGGGUUUUUGCCGUUGUUGACGGGAGAGUCUCGUUUCGCCGCCAUCCCGUCCCAUCCCCUCCCGCCCGGCCCCCAUUACCAGCAGAGACCUCUUCUGUAAACUAGAGCCCCCCCCCCUCUCCCACAAACACUCACACCUACGGCCCUGCACGCGGCUUACUGCGUGACCGCGUUGAUGGAAAACCGCAAGCUGAAGCGCUAUGAUUCAGCCCCGCUGCCAAGUGGCUCCUCCUCGGCGGCCAAGGCGGCAGCGGCGCAAGCUUCGAAUAUUCCUCGUCCUCACGCGGCGCAGCUCGGAUCCCCGUGUACACCACCCAGUGCACCACAGCCAAGCCAUGCCGCUGCGUCUGCGCCAGAGCGGUCCGCGUCGUACGAGAAGCAACUCGAGCACUACUACAAGUGCAUGGAAGAGGACAAUGAGACCCUCGUGAAGUUCUACGAGGCGCACACCUCCGACAUUGCGGCGCUACGGGUCUUGACGCAGGAGCGCAAGUACAAGGACAUCGUCUUCGCAGCCAUGGAAGCAAAGACGGCUUCGACGGACGCCUUCUUGAAGGAACUCAUAGACCUCACCGGCACUGGCCGCGGCUUACGCGUCCGCAGGGACGCGAAUAGUGUGAAAUGUUCUGCGGCAAAGUCGUCAGCUGCGCUGACGUCAGCGCCUGUCGUCACGAUGGAUGAGGUGCGCGACGCUGUGCAGAGGCAGCGGCACGCUCUCGAGGCGGCGCGGCGGAACGAAGAGAAGCAGACGCUGGUGAUCCGGGCAUUAGAGGAAGAAGUUGCGUCGUUGAAGCUCAAGGGCAGGUCCACCUCGGCGCGCUCGCUGGCGCAGAAGCGCGGGUCGACGAAACCGGAUGACGUCACCGCCGACGAGGACUGCUGUCUGCCUGGCACGGCGAAGGAGCUGCGUGAUGCGCAGCGCAGGAUUCGCGGGCUGGAGCGUCAGCUAAGCAGCGCCAUGUGUGAUGCCAAGGAUGCUGCGGCUGCCGUGGCAAGCCUGCAGCAGCAGUGCACGGUUCACCUGCAGUCGCUGCAGUGCCGCGACGGCGAACUCACCGCAAUGCGGAGCGUUCUGGACUCCAAGGAACAGCUGAUCACGGCGCUCGAAGAAGAGGUUCGCAAGCAACGGAGUGCCGCAGAGGCGCAGCAGAAGCAACAGCAGCGCACAUCGCAGCCCGGCGCCCCCUACGCUCGCACCAACUCCGCGCCCGCCGCAACUCACCACAACCGCAGCGGUGACGAGGCGAGCAGUGACCGCCUUAUCGUGACUCACCACUACCGCCUGUUCGGCGGGCAGACCUUCGUGGACGGCAACAGCUUCUCGCCGAAAUCCUUCAAGGACGCCUUCCUGCGCUCCGUCUCCACGCUGCUGCAAGUUCCAUAUGGCUACCUCACGAGUGUCGAGGUGCGCACCCACUCUGAGGCGGUCAGCGUGGAGUUCGACGUCCGCCACUCAGCGCGCAUCAAAGAAGACGAGAUCGACUUCUUCCUGCUCAGCCACGACUACCCGGAGCUGACUAGGUUUCUGGACAAGGCGAAGGCCGAGCUGGCGACUCGAAAGCCACUCGACCGCAACGCCGUGCGUGUGAAGGAGCUGGAGGCGGCACUGGCGGAGAGGGCGGACGAGGUGGACCACCUGCGCCGCACCAUCCGCUCUCUCGAAGCCUCGCUCGACCGCCGCGACUCCGACCGCGCGGUGCUGGACACAGAUGUGGACGCUGCACUGCGCGAGACCGAAAUGACUGUGAAGGAGGUGUACGAGGCGCUGCAGGCGACGAAGCAGGAGGCGCAGGGGUUGCAGAAGGCGCUCACCACGCAGUCCGCGCAGCUGCGCCUGUCGGAGCGGGCGAAGGCGGCCGCGACGGCCGCAGCGGAGAAGCUCAAGACGGAGCUGGCGACCCUUCAGGACCAGCUCGCCACAGCGCAAGCAUCCGUCGAGCAGGCGCGGGAAGAAGCAGCGCAGAAGGCACUGCAGCGCCACACGGAUGAGAAGGCGGAGCUGCUGAUGAGUACUUUCCGCCUCGACGUGGCGCUGCCCACUGCCUUGGCACAGCGCACUGCGAAUCGCUUGCUGGAAGAAGCGCAGCAGGCUCGCGUGCUGCAAGCGCUACUUCUCUGCCAUGCCGCACGGACUGCCGGGGCCGUGCCGGUGGCGGUCAAGAAGUGCUCGUUAGGCGACGGCGCGACGACGAUGGCGGCCGCCGUGGCGCUGGCCUUCUACGCGAGCAAAAAGAACGCCGAAGCUGUCGAGGCGGAGAUCGCCAAGAAGCUUAGCGAAGACUCCGGCAGCGCGGUUCUCGAAUAUUUGCGAAUGUGCAGCGAUUCAUGCAAGCAGGAGGCCGCGAUCUUGGCGGACGCGCAGCGAGCCGUCAGCGAGGCAGAGCAGCGCGCUGCAGCCGCCAUCGCCGCCAUGCAAGGCGAGACGCAGCAGGCGCAGAACACGCAGCGUGCUGUAACGGCAAGGCAGCUGCAGGAGAUUCACGCGCGAUUGAGCAGCGUGCUGCCGGGCGGCUCUGCGGAAGCAAAAAGCGUCUUAGAACGCAUUGAGCAGCUCGUGUCGCGCCUGACCGAGGCUGAGUCGACGGCGCGCUGCCUCGAGGAGGAGAGCCGCCGUGCAACACAGCGCUUGGCGGAGGCGCAGCAGGAGCGCGAACAGUUGCAGCAGACGCUGAGUGACCUGACGGCACGCUGCACUGAGAUGCAAGUCGCCAAGGAGCAGCUCGCCGUACGUGCGGCCAGAGCAGAAAGCCAGCUUCGCAAUCAGCAGCUGAGCGCAGGGGAGUCGGAAGGCGUUCUAGUCAAAAAGGUGAAGCUCCUCGAGGAGGCCCUGCGCGCAAAGACAGCAGCCGCAGACUCCGAGAAAGAUCGCAUGUUGGAGGAGCACAGGGCGGCGGCGACACUGGCGGAGGGUCAGCUGGCGGAGGUCGAGGAGGCGCUGGCCAUCAAGGAGGCGGCACUAGCGCAGCUGCAGUCGAAGACCGCGUCUCCUGGCUCCGGUGCUGCAGCCAGUGCGUCGACCGAGGAGGCCGCGCUGCGUGAGGCGCUGCGGCUCGCAAAGCAAGAGCGCGCAGCUCUGGCGCGCCAGGUGAGGGAGAUGGACACGGACAUGAACGACUUGUCGAACAUCCAAGCCUCCAUGCAGCGCGAGCUUGAAGUGGCGCAGCAGGAGCUGCGAGCCAAGAAACACGACUUCGAUCUUCUGGUGAAGCAGCUGAUCCGGAUGGAGGAAAGGGAGAAGAAGUGGGCCUCCGAACAUUCCGCCUCACCGAAGAAGCAAGACGAAGACGCCGAGCUUGACGACGUGGCCCGGGAGUCCCUCGUCGUCUUGACAAACAGCAACGCGACCCUCCAGCAGUGCCUGCACCGCCUGCACUCCGCCCUCACCUCCAUGGGAAUGGAGGUGAGCCUCGCGUCGAGCAACGCCGCUGAUAGCGCGGGUACCGUGGCGGGGGCGGCACACGGACGUGGCGGCGAAAGGGACAGCGGCAGAGUCGGUGAUGAGAUCACUGGAGUGCGACGCAGCGGGCAUCGCAAGAGCGCCCUCGGAGCCACAGUCUCACGCGCCGCCAUCGAUCACCAGAAGUUGUCGGCGCAAGUAGCAGACUUGCUGCUGCCGGUGCUAGAGGUGCUGAAGAUCUCCGCGUCGUCGAGGACCGCGAGCGGCGGCUGUCGCCCUCGCGGGGCCGCCGCUGCAGCGGCGACGGCGCCAGCUGACGCAGCAACGACGCACUUGGCAGUAGCCACGCAGAGGCGAAUUGUGAAGCAUUCACCGAGCAGUGCGCCGUUAUUUCGCACGGCGUCCACCCCGGCGGCGAUCGGAGCUGAAAACAUUGGCCAUCCCUUCAAUGGUAGCUUCACCAUUGUGCGGGACGCCGCCAUCGCCUCGAACGGCAACACACCGAAGCGAGGCACGGCAAGCGAUGCGGCAGUGAGCGCGGCGGUCACCGGAUCAGGUGGAAAGGCGUCCAUGGUAGACGAGGCGCCGCGCCUGGACUUCCACCGACAGGCGAGCCUGCGCACCUACAUCCGUAGCAACACGGCCACCUCAGCGCCCAUGAACGCCGGUGGUACUGCAUUGCCGCCAGCUUCUGCAGCUGCCGCUGCCGCUGCUACGACCGACAGCUCUGCAUCGUCCGGCGCUGGCGUCAACAGCAGCGGAGCCGCCACUCGAGUCAGCGGAGAUGAGCGAAAAGAGGAGAAGGGCAAGGAACGCCUGCCACGCGGUGCGAGCGGCGGCGGGGGAGCAGCAGCUGCGGGUGGCGCCUCCGACAACGCAUCGCUGGCGAGCGCGCAGGUCAGUACGCGCCGCAAUGCGGCACCGACGGCCAUCGCUAAGGCGAACCUGCUGCGCCGCAUGAACACUACUGCCACUUCCACUACCAGCGGUGGGCGGGGCAGUGGCUCAGCUAUGGGGACCAGCCUUGGGCGCACAGCAUGUGGCUAUCGCCGUGUGCCGACGGUGACAGACUCGAGUGGAUCCUCCGCGUCUCUGACGAGGCGAGCCCGUCCCACGCACAUGUGACACGAAUGCGCAGCGUGUUCAAAGUCGUUUUGAAGCAGAGAGCGAAACGCCGUGGUUAGAUUCUGUGAGCAUCCUCUACCUCUCUCUCUCCAGCCCCCCCCCACCCUACUCUUCACCACCACCAUCGUCUCACCCCUCAGGGGAUCUUGCAUGUGGGUAAGAUUGUGUGUGUCUGCCUCUCUGUCUGUGCUCAGCCUGUGCCAACUCGCCGGUCUCCCCUGCUCUCUUCUUUUGUCGUCUGACGUGGAUACUUUCUUCGUAGAUCUCGCAUCG